RNAcentral lists this ribosomal RNA (468 nucleotides) under uncultured bacterium. RNAcentral describes it as "partial 16S ribosomal RNA". It matches the Rfam family "Bacterial small subunit ribosomal RNA", at positions 28 to 507 of the family's 1533-position model. The record is from RNAcentral.
GACGAACGCUGGCGGCGUGCUUAACACAUGCAAGUCGAACGGAAAGGCCCUGCUUUUGUGGGGUGCUCGAGUGGCGAACGGGUGAGUAACACGUGAGUAACCUGCCCUUGACUUUGGGAUAACUUCAGGAAACUGGGGCUAAUACCGGAUAGGAGCUCCUGCUGCAUGGUGGGGGUUGGAAAGUUUCGGCGGUUGGGGAUGGACUCGCGGCUUAUCAGCUUGGUGGUGGGGUAGUGGCUUACCAAGGCUUUGACGGGUAGCCGGCCUGGGAGGGCGGCCGGCCACAUUGGGACUGAGAUACGGCCCAGACUCCUACGGGAGGCAGCAGUGGGGAAUAUUGCACAAUGGGCGGAAGCCUGAUGCAGCAACGCCGCGUGCGGGAUGACGGCCUUCGGGUUGUAAACCGCUUUCGCCUGUGACGAAGCGUGAGUGACGGUAAUGGGUAAAGAAGCACCGGCUAACUACGUG